GCCGAAGUGGCGGAAUUGGUAGACGCGCUGCCUUGAGGGGGCAGUGGGCGAAAGCCCGUGCGAGUUCGAGUCUCGCCUUCGGCACCA
Molecule: transfer RNA, 87 nt
Filed under: Gammaproteobacteria bacterium
Lineage: Bacteria; Pseudomonadati; Pseudomonadota; Gammaproteobacteria
Description: tRNA-Leu
Rfam family: tRNA
About the family: Transfer RNA (tRNA) molecules are approximately 80 nucleotides in length. Their secondary structure includes four short double-helical elements and three loops (D, anti-codon, and T loops). Further hydrogen bonds mediate the characteristic L-shaped molecular structure. tRNAs have two regions of fundamental functional importance: the anti-codon, which is responsible for specific mRNA codon recognition, and the 3' end, to which the tRNAs corresponding amino acid is attached (by aminoacyl-tRNA synthetases). tRNAs cope with the degeneracy of the genetic code in two manners: having more than one tRNA (with a specific anti-codon) for a particular amino acid; and 'wobble' base-pairing, i.e. permitting non-standard base-pairing at the 3rd anti-codon position.
Source: RNAcentral